CGAUAGCUCAGUUGGUAUAGCGGGGGACUGUAGAUUUAUAAUUGUGAUCCCUAAAUCGCUGGUCCGAAUCCGGCUCG
Molecule: transfer RNA, 77 nt
Filed under: Nematostella vectensis (starlet sea anemone)
Lineage: Eukaryota; Metazoa; Cnidaria; Anthozoa; Actiniaria; Edwardsiidae
Rfam family: tRNA
About the family: Transfer RNA (tRNA) molecules are approximately 80 nucleotides in length. Their secondary structure includes four short double-helical elements and three loops (D, anti-codon, and T loops).
Source: Rfam by way of RNAcentral